GGGCUGGUAGCUCAGUUUGGCAGAGCGGCGGACGCUUACUCCGUCGGUCGCGUGUUCAAAUCGCGCUUAGCCUG
RNAcentral lists this transfer RNA (74 nucleotides) under Halonotius sp. J07HN4. RNAcentral's name for it is "tRNA-Lys". It matches the Rfam family "tRNA". Rfam says of the family: Transfer RNA (tRNA) molecules are approximately 80 nucleotides in length. Their secondary structure includes four short double-helical elements and three loops (D, anti-codon, and T loops). Lineage: Archaea; Methanobacteriati; Methanobacteriota; Halobacteria; Halobacteriales; Haloferacaceae. The record is from RNAcentral.